GUCUGAGAAAACACUGAGAGAGAAAGAACAACUUGUCAGGUGGUGCAUUGGAGACUGAUGUGUUCCUGUCCGGUCUUUUCACAAUACUAUUGCAGAUCAACAUAAAAGCCUAAAAGACAGCUGUGGUGCCGCUCUUCAUUUCUUGGUUCUCCUGUGGUGCAUAAGAGACCCGCUACACUUGAAGGACAGCAAUGGAUGGGGGGAAACUGGAAAGAAAACCACAAGUGUUCCUUACUGACCUACUAGAGAUUCACCAAUCCCAUCUCUGUGACAUGGUGAGGCUGGACCCAGGUGCAGAGAAGAAACCAGAUGAGGAAUCAGUGGUUAAGGAUAAACAUAAAUACGUUACUCAGAAACAGUAGCC
RNAcentral lists this long non-coding RNA (364 nucleotides) under Salmo salar (Atlantic salmon). RNAcentral describes it as "lncRNA (ENSSSAG00000107456.1)". The record is from RNAcentral. Lineage: Eukaryota; Metazoa; Chordata; Actinopteri; Salmoniformes; Salmonidae.